GCAGCUACAACAGGUAAUAAUGCUACUGCCCUUGCUUCUUCUUCCUCAAAGUGGAUCAUAGAUUCCGGGGCUACUGAUCAUAUGACAGGAUCUUUUGACGAGGCGGAUUAUUGGUAGAGGUUAUGAAUCUGGCGGGCACUAUAUACUGGAUGAUCGGGUGUCUCAUGCGGUAGCUUGCGCUAGCAGUCAUUCUCCUUUUGAAGUUCAUUGUCGAUUGGGUCAUUUGUCUCUAUCUUCUCUUAAGAAAGUUUAUCCUCAAUUUUAGCAUUUGUCGUCUUUAGAUUGUGAGUCAUGUCAGUUUGCCAAGCAUCAUCGUCUUCCUUUAGUGUCUCGUGUCAAUAAACGGGUUUCAUCCCCUUUUGAGUUAGUCCAUUCUGAUGUUUGGGGUCCUUGUCCUGUAGAGUCCAAAGCAGGGUUUAAAUACUUUGUUACAUUUGUUGAUGAUUAUUCCCGGACAACUUGGUUAUAUUUAAUGAAACAUCGUUCUGAAUUGUUUUCCCA
This is a long non-coding RNA of Neltuma alba, 501 nucleotides long. RefSeq lists it as uncharacterized. The record is from RefSeq and is a predicted model, not a curated record. NCBI's taxonomy places the organism in Eukaryota, Viridiplantae, Streptophyta, Magnoliopsida, Fabales, Fabaceae. The transcript has 2 exons.